CCGUCGUAGUCCUAACCAUAAACGGCCUGGUUUGGGGUGAAGGCCACCACUGUUUCAGAUCGCUUCUUCCAUCCCCCAGAAAUUUCCUUCUUUGGUUGAUGGAAGCCGUAUGGUCGCAAGGCUGAA
Molecule: ribosomal RNA, 126 nt
Filed under: Babesia gibsoni
Lineage: Eukaryota; Apicomplexa; Aconoidasida; Piroplasmida; Babesiidae
Description: partial small subunit ribosomal RNA
Source: RNAcentral